UUACUACUCCCUCCGUCCAACAAAAGAUGUCUCAAAUUUGUCAAAAUUUGGAUGUAUCUAGACGUGACUUAGUGUAUAGAUGUUCAAAUUUAGUCAAAUUUGAGACAUCCUUUGUUGGACGGAGGGAGUACAAU
Non-coding RNA from Brachypodium distachyon (stiff brome), 134 nucleotides. The record is from Rfam. NCBI's taxonomy places the organism in Eukaryota, Viridiplantae, Streptophyta, Magnoliopsida, Poales, Poaceae.